UGAGUAAGCCGGAUGGUCGCGUGCUGUGCACGAGGAAAGUCCGGGCUCCAAAGGGCAGGGUGCUGGGUAAUACCCAGUGGAGGUGACUCCAAGGAAAGUGCAACAGAGAUAUACCGCCGAUGAGAUGUCGGUAAGGGUGAAAAGGUGAGGUAAGAGCUCACCGACAGCCAGGCGACUGGUCUGUCCAUGUAAACCCCACCUGGAGCAAGGCUAAGUAUGGAGGCGAUAAGGUGGCCCGCCGAUGCCUCGGGGUAAGCCGCUAGAGGUGUCAGGCAACUGACAUCCUAGAUAAAUGACCAUCCAAGACAGAACCCGGCUUACAGGCUUACUCGCUUU
Molecule: RNase P RNA, 336 nt
Filed under: Caldanaerobius fijiensis DSM 17918
Lineage: Bacteria; Bacillati; Bacillota; Clostridia; Thermoanaerobacterales; Thermoanaerobacteraceae
Description: Bacterial RNase P class A
Rfam family: Bacterial RNase P class A
About the family: Ribonuclease P (RNase P) is a ubiquitous endoribonuclease, found in archaea, bacteria and eukarya as well as chloroplasts and mitochondria.
Source: Rfam by way of RNAcentral